CCUACGGGAGGCAGCAGUGGGGAAUAUUGGGCAAUGGGCGCAAGCCUGACCCAGCAACGCCGCGUGAAGGAAGAAGGCUUUCGGGUUGUAAACUUCUUUUGUCAGGGACGAAGCAAGUGACGGUACCUGACGAAUAAGCCACGGCUAACUACGUGCCAGCGGCCGCGGUAAUACGUAGGUGGCAAGCGUUAUCCGGAUUUACUGGGUGUAAAGGUCGUGUAGGCGGGGAAGCAAGUCAGAUGUGAAAACCACGGGCGCAACCUGUGGCCUGCAUUUGAAACUGUUUUUCUUGAGUGCUUGAGAGGCAAUCGGAAUUCCGUGUGUAGCGGUGAAAUGCGUAGAUAUACGGAGGAACACCAGUGGCGAAGGCGGAUUGCUGGACAGUAACUGACGCUGAGGCGCGAAAGCGUGGGGAGCAAACAGGAUUAGAUACCCCUGUAGUC
RNAcentral lists this ribosomal RNA (443 nucleotides) under uncultured bacterium. RNAcentral's name for it is "partial 16S ribosomal RNA". It matches the Rfam family "Bacterial small subunit ribosomal RNA", at positions 338 to 795 of the family's 1533-position model. The record is from RNAcentral.